GUAGGUGAACCUGCGGAAGGAUCAUUAUAGAUUUUAAGGUUGAUGGCUGAGGGGUAGGGUGCUGUGAGCAAAUGCGUAAGCAUUAUGCGUGCAGCAUUCUACUUUUCUUUCACAACAAAACAUGUUCGAUGUUAGGUUAGAGAUUGUGAGUUAUUGCGAUAUCACUAUCAAAAUAUCCCACCUAUCCAACUGUACAUCGCUACACUUGCUUAUUCUUGUUUGUCAAAGUAAAACUACCAAUAUAUUAUAA
Molecule: unclassified non-coding RNA, 250 nt
Filed under: plant metagenome
Description: partial contains small subunit ribosomal RNA, internal transcribed spacer 1, and 5.8S ribosomal RNA
Source: RNAcentral